This 687-nucleotide ribosomal RNA is filed under the name Triticum aestivum (bread wheat). RNAcentral's name for it is "partial small subunit ribosomal RNA". The record is from RNAcentral. Lineage: Eukaryota; Viridiplantae; Streptophyta; Magnoliopsida; Poales; Poaceae.
AUGAAUAUACUAUGUCUAAACUGUCGGGGUUGCGGGCGGCCCGAGACAGUGAAUGAAAUAAACAACUUGGUGAAGUUGUAUCACCCGUGCUUAGUCUUUCUCUCGGAGACUAAGUUGUCUGCUACGAGAGCUCAAGACUUGCGGUUGAGGCUUGGUUUCUCGAACGCCUUUGGUGUUAAAAGUGAGGGACUGAGCGGUGGCUUGGCGCUGUUUUGGAAUAGUGACUCGGUGGUAAGCUUAAAAUCAUAUAACAACUCUCAUAUUGAUGUUUUGAUUCAGAAUGAGAACUUGGGAGAUAAGGAGUGGAGGUUUACUGGCUUCUAUGGGGAGCCGGCUAGAGCUAAGAGGAAAAAUAGUUGGGAACUUAUGAAAUAUUUGAGGGAACAGUAUGAGAACCCAUGGUUAUGUGCUGGAGAUUUUAAUGAAAUCCUCGAGGCAACGGAGCAAUUUGGUGGCCUAAUACGUGAUGAAUGGAGAAUGGAUGGCUUCAGGAAGCUGUGGAUGAGUGUCGUUUUGAUGACCUGGGAUAUAUGGGCUUGCCAUAUACGUGGGAUAACAGGCAACAAGAUAAUGACAACAUUAAAGUUAGGCUGGAUAGAGGACUUGGUGAUGAUAAAUUUCAGGAACUUUUCGGUAACACAACUGUACAACAUGUUCAAACCACAGAAUCAGACCAUUGUGCUUUGA